This 327-nucleotide ribosomal RNA is filed under the name Triticum aestivum (bread wheat). Its description in RNAcentral is "partial small subunit ribosomal RNA". The record is from RNAcentral. Lineage: Eukaryota; Viridiplantae; Streptophyta; Magnoliopsida; Poales; Poaceae.
AUGCUCGCACUUUCCAUAUGGAUCUGGGAGUGUUUUCCGGUUGGAUGACCGAAGACCGUGAAGUACGAGGAUUGGGACGACAAAAACGAUCCACUACGGCUCCCCACUUGGGCUUACAAGUGGGAUGUGUUAAAUGAGACGACAGAUGAUCCGUUGGUCAUGUACAAGUUGUACAAGAGCGAGAUGGACGCGAUCACGCCUGAGCAGGUGAAUCGACAUUGCAUAACUGAUUAUCAUGCUUCUAUCGUAACUCGAUAUCAAUUUUGCAUUCUAUCCCAUUUUGCAGGUGGAAUGGGAGCCGUAUGGAAAAGGAGAGAGUUUUUGUAA